RNAcentral lists this ribosomal RNA (147 nucleotides) under Ochrophyta sp. RNAcentral describes it as "partial small subunit ribosomal RNA". It matches the Rfam family "Eukaryotic small subunit ribosomal RNA", at positions 1295 to 1461 of the family's 1831-position model. The record is from RNAcentral.
UAGUUGGUGGAGUGAUUUGUCUGGUUAAUUCCGUUAACGAACGAGACCCCCGCCUGCUAAAUAGUAUCACCAAUGCUUAGCAUUGGUGUAUGCUUCUUAGAGGGACUUUUGGUGACUAACCAAAGGAAGUUGGGGGCAAUAACAGGU